GGGUUACUCCUUGGCGUUUACGCGCUGGUUUAAUAAAGAUUCGCCCCCCUAUCAAACUGGGUAACCCCACCCUUUGGCAAGGCCUUCUGUCCGAUCAAGUCGGAACUACUACACCUGAAGCCAGCCUAUAUCAAUCUGAUUACUACUGUAGUCGUUCGGUGAACGAUUUCAUCAUCAACUGCUAAGUUGACUACUUUGCAUUGCCCGUUA
Molecule: small RNA, 210 nt
Filed under: Collimonas fungivorans Ter331
Lineage: Bacteria; Pseudomonadati; Pseudomonadota; Betaproteobacteria; Burkholderiales; Oxalobacteraceae
Description: Proteobacterial sRNA psRNA2
Rfam family: Proteobacterial sRNA psRNA2
Source: Rfam by way of RNAcentral